GUGCUUGCUUCAGCAGCACAUAUACUAAAAUUGGAACAAAGCAGAGAAGAUUAGCAUGGCCCCUGUGCAAGGAUGACAUGCAAAUUCGUGAAGCGUUACAUAUUUAA
Small nuclear RNA from Callithrix jacchus (white-tufted-ear marmoset), 107 nucleotides. NCBI's taxonomy places the organism in Eukaryota, Metazoa, Chordata, Mammalia, Primates, Cebidae. The record is from Ensembl.